CCCUUAGAUGUUCUGGGCCGCACGCGCGCUACACUGAUGCAUUCAACGAGUUUCUUCCUGGUCCGAGAGGAAUGGGUAACCUUUUGAAAGUGCAUCGUGAUAGGGAUAGACUAUUGCAAUUAUUGGUCUUCAACGAGGAAUUCCUAGUAGACGUAGUUCAUCAGACUGCAUCGAUUACGUCCCUGCCCUUUGUACACACCGCCCGUCGCUCCUACCGAUUGAAUGCUCAGGUGAGCCAUUCGGACCUUCAGCAUGCCGGUUUCCGGUUUUGAUGAGGGAAAGUCUUGCGAACCUUAUCAUUUAGAGGAAGGAGAAGUCGUAACA
Molecule: ribosomal RNA, 324 nt
Filed under: uncultured eukaryote
Lineage: Eukaryota
Description: partial 18S ribosomal RNA
Rfam family: Eukaryotic small subunit ribosomal RNA
Source: RNAcentral